CAGUCGCCGCGGGAAAACGUGGGUCCCGAGCGUUGUCCGGAUUUAUUGGGCGUAAAGCGAGCGCAGGCGGUUUCUUAAGUCUGAUGUGAAAGCCCCCGGCUCAACCGGGGAGGGUCAUUGGAAACUGGGAAACUUGAGUGCAGAAGAGGAGAGUGGAAUUCCACGUGUAGCGGUGAAAUGCGUAGAGACGUGGAGGAACACCAGUGGCGAAGGCGACUCCCUGGUCUGUAACUGACGCUGAGGAGCGAAAGCGUGGGGAGCGAACAGGAUUAGAGACCCCAGUAGUCCCUGUCUCUUAUAC
RNAcentral lists this ribosomal RNA (301 nucleotides) under uncultured bacterium. RNAcentral's name for it is "partial 16S ribosomal RNA". It matches the Rfam family "Bacterial small subunit ribosomal RNA", at positions 509 to 807 of the family's 1533-position model. The record is from RNAcentral.